AUGGAGGAUAUCUUGCGCAAGUACAUCCGGUACGCAUUGAAUGAGAAACCAUUUAAUGCAGAACUGGUUGCCAACUUAAUCCAGCUUAGGAGAGUGUCAACAUUGGAUGACUCUCAAGUUGCUGACAUUGUGAAUGACAUCUCAAGACGGAUUGUGAAGGAAAAAGGCCCAGUUGUCAUGGAUAUGACAGGGUAUACCGAAAGAGGAUUUAAGAGAAAACUUGCUGUGCAAGCCCUUUUUGGAAAGGUGUAUUAUUUAUCUGAGCUGCCGG
RNAcentral lists this unclassified non-coding RNA (271 nucleotides) under Hevea brasiliensis (rubber tree). The record is from RNAcentral. Lineage: Eukaryota; Viridiplantae; Streptophyta; Magnoliopsida; Malpighiales; Euphorbiaceae.